RNAcentral lists this ribosomal RNA (400 nucleotides) under Pseudomonas sp. S5-30. Its description in RNAcentral is "bacterial SSU rRNA". It matches the Rfam family "Bacterial small subunit ribosomal RNA", at positions 41 to 398 of the family's 1533-position model. Lineage: Bacteria; Pseudomonadati; Pseudomonadota; Gammaproteobacteria; Pseudomonadales; Pseudomonadaceae. The record is from RNAcentral.
UUGCAACUGACAUCGAGCAGGCAGGCCUAACAUCAUGUCAAGUCAGCACGUCGCGUUAGAGCAGUAAGACUCUCGCGUGUCUCUUGAGAGCGGCGGACGGGUGAGUAAUGCCUAGGAAUCUGCCUGGUAGUGGGGGAUAACUGUUCGGAAACGGACGCUAAUACCGCAUACGUCCUACGGGAGAAAGCAGGGGACCUUCGGGCCUUGCGCUAUCAGAUGAGCCUAGGUCGGAUUAGCUAGUUGGUGAGGUAAUGGCUCACCAAGGCGACGAUCCGUAACUGGUCUGAGAGGAUGAUCAGUCACACUGGAACUGAGACACGGUCCAGACUCCUACGGGAGGCAAGCAAGUGGGGAAUAUUGGACAAUGGGCGAAAGCCUGAUCCAGCCAUGCCGUCGUGUG